Molecule: long non-coding RNA, 528 nt
Organism: Hyla sarda
Lineage: Eukaryota; Metazoa; Chordata; Amphibia; Anura; Hylidae
Exons: 3
Source: RefSeq, a predicted model, not a curated record
GAGAGGAGGGGAUUACAGAGCAGCCUGCAGUGAUUGGAUGAAGAAACCCAGCACAGCAGACUCAGGAAGGAAGUGAAUGCAUGGCGAGUGAGGGAAGACUCGGUGCUUGCCUCAGACACGCCCCUUCCUGAGCAGUGGAUGUCAGAAUGAGUAAGCAGGAGAACAGAGGGAUUUGUGAGCCAAAUACAGAAGCUAGACACAUAAAAAAGACAGGUAAAGCAUCUGCAUGACCUGAUCCAAGCCUAUCCACCGACCCACCCGGCGCGGUGGGCGUCACCACCAACGACAACAUAAAGACAAGAGCCCAGCGGAAUCCCAGGGCAGUGCAGCCCAAAUUGACAUUCAAGAAAAAGACAAAAUGAAUACGGGUUGGGAAAAACGAAUACAAGUCCACUCACACCCUAAAAAGAAAAAAUCUUAGAUUCCGUCUUAUGUACAUUCCGGAUCCCAUUUCGUAGGCUGUGAUAGACUGCCACAGUUUGUUUAUGUGCACACACUCUGUUGGCAUGUUGUAAAUAAACAAUCUUA